CGUAGGGGGCGAGCGUUGUCCGGAAUUAUUGGGCGUAAAGAGCGUGUAGGCGGUUCGGUAAGUCUGCUGUGAAAUCCUGGGGCUCAACCCCGGGCGUGCAGCGGAUACUGCCGGGCUAGAGGGUGGUAGAGGCGAGUAGAAUUCCCGGUGUAGCGGUGAAAUGCGCAGAUAUCGGGAGGAACACCAGUAGCGAAGGCGGCUCGCUGGGCCACACCUGACGCUGAGACGCGAAAGCGUGGGGAGCGAACAGGAUUAGAUACCCUGGUAGUCCACGCCGUAAACGAUGGACACUAGGUGUGGGCGGAGUCGAAUCUGUCCGUGCCGAAGCCAACGCGAUAAGUGUCCCGCCUGGGGAGUACGGCCGCAGGGCUA
Molecule: ribosomal RNA, 372 nt
Filed under: uncultured organism
Description: bacterial SSU rRNA
Rfam family: Bacterial small subunit ribosomal RNA
Source: RNAcentral